Molecule: ribosomal RNA, 274 nt
Filed under: uncultured bacterium
Lineage: Bacteria
Description: partial 16S ribosomal RNA
Rfam family: Bacterial small subunit ribosomal RNA
Source: RNAcentral
UACGUAGGGUGCAAGCGUUAAUCGGAAUUACUGGGCGUAAAGCGUGCGCAGGCGGUUUUGUAAGUCUGUCGUGAAAUCCCCGGGCUCAACCUGGGAAUUGCGAUGGAGACUGCAAGGCUAGAAUCUGGCAGAGGGGGGUAGAAUUCCACGUGUAGCAGUGAAAUGCGUAGAGAUGUGGGAGGAACACCGAUGGCGAAGGCAGCCCCCUGGGUCAAGAUUGACGCUCAUGCACGAAAGCGUGGGGAGCAAACAGGAUUAGAAACCCCAGUGAGAU